This 1372-nucleotide ribosomal RNA is filed under the name uncultured bacterium. Its description in RNAcentral is "bacterial SSU rRNA". It matches the Rfam family "Bacterial small subunit ribosomal RNA", at positions 28 to 1381 of the family's 1533-position model. The record is from RNAcentral.
GAUGAACGCUGGCGGCGUGCCUAAUACAUGCAAGUCGAGCGAACGGACGAGAAGCUUGCUUCUCUGAUGUUAGCGGCGGACGGGUGAGUAACACGUGGAUAACCUACCUAUAAGACUGGGAUAACUUCGGGAAACCGGAGCUAAUACCGGAUAAUAUUUUGAACCGCAUGGUUCAAAAGUGAAAGACGGUCUUGCUGUCACUUAUAGAUGGAUCCGCGCUGCAUUAGCUAGUUGGUAAGGUAACGGCUUACCAAGGCAACGAUGCAUAGCCGACCUGAGAGGGUGAUCGGCCACACUGGAACUGAGACACGGUCCAGACUCCUACGGGAGGCAGCAGUAGGGAAUCUUCCGCAAUGGGCGAAAGCCUGACGGAGCAACGCCGCGUGAGUGAUGAAGGUCUUCGGAUCGUAAAACUCUGUUAUUAGGGAAGAACAUAUGUGUAAGUAACUGUGCACAUCUUGACGGUACCUAAUCAGAAAGCCACGGCUAACUACGUGCCAGCAGCCGCGGUAAUACGUAGGUGGCAAGCGUUAUCCGGAAUUAUUGGGCGUAAAGCGCGCGUAGGCGGUUUUUUAAGUCUGAUGUGAAAGCCCACGGCUCAACCGUGGAGGGUCAUUGGAAACUGGAAAACUUGAGUGCAGAAGAGGAAAGUGGAAUUCCAUGUGUAGCGGUGAAAUGCGCAGAGAUAUGGAGGAACACCAGUGGCGAAGGCGACUUUCUGGUCUGUAACUGACGCUGAUGUGCGAAAGCGUGGGGAUCAAACAGGAUUAGAUACCCUGGUAGUCCACGCCGUAAACGAUGAGUGCUAAGUGUUAGGGGGUUUCCGCCCCUUAGUGCUGCAGCUAACGCAUUAAGCACUCCGCCUGGGGAGUACGACCGCAAGGUUGAAACUCAAAGGAAUUGACGGGGACCCGCACAAGCGGUGGAGCAUGUGGUUUAAUUCGAAGCAACGCGAAGAACCUUACCAAAUCUUGACAUCCUUUGACAACUCUAGAGAUAGAACCUUCCCCUUCGGGGGACAAAGUGACAGGUGGUGCAUGGUUGUCGUCAGCUCGUGUCGUGAGAUGUUGGGUUAAGUCCCGCAACGAGCGCAACCCUUAAGCUUAGUUGCCAUCAUUAAGUUGGGCACUCUAAGUUGACUGCCGGUGACAAACCGGAGGAAGGUGGGGAUGACGUCAAAUCAUCAUGCCCCUUAUGAUUUGGGCUACACACGUGCUACAAUGGACAAUACAAAGGGCAGCGAAACCGCGAGGUCAAGCAAAUCCCAUAAAGUUGUUCUCAGUUCGGAUUGUAGUCUGCAACUCGACUACAUGAAGCUGGAAUCGCUAGUAAUCGUAGAUCAGCAUGCUACGGUGAAUACGUUCCCGGGUCU